GUUUUAAUAGUUUAAAAUAAAACAAUGAAUUUGUAAUUCAAAAAUAGGGAAUCCCUUUAAAACU
RNAcentral lists this transfer RNA (64 nucleotides) under Dysdercus cingulatus. RNAcentral describes it as "tRNA-Thr". It matches the Rfam family "tRNA". From Rfam's summary of the family: Transfer RNA (tRNA) molecules are approximately 80 nucleotides in length. Their secondary structure includes four short double-helical elements and three loops (D, anti-codon, and T loops). Further hydrogen bonds mediate the characteristic L-shaped molecular structure. tRNAs have two regions of fundamental functional importance: the anti-codon, which is responsible for specific mRNA codon recognition, and the 3' end, to which the tRNAs corresponding amino acid is attached (by aminoacyl-tRNA synthetases). tRNAs cope with the degeneracy of the genetic code in two manners: having more than one tRNA (with a specific anti-codon) for a particular amino acid; and 'wobble' base-pairing, i.e. permitting non-standard base-pairing at the 3rd anti-codon position. Lineage: Eukaryota; Metazoa; Arthropoda; Insecta; Hemiptera; Pyrrhocoridae. The record is from RNAcentral. RNAcentral also lists the same sequence under 1 other name.